GCUUGUCUCAAAGAUUAAGCCAUGCAUGUCUAAGUAUAAGCAUCUUAUACUGUGAAACUGCACAUGGCUCAUUAAAUCAGUUAUGGUUUAUUUGAUGGUACCUUACUACAUGGAUAACCGUAGUAAUUCUAGAGCUAAUACAUGCGUGAAAUCCUGACUCGUGAGGGAAAGGAUGUAUUUAUUAGAUUAAAAACCAAUGCACACUCUCGAGUGUGGUAUUGUGGUGAUUCAUAAUAACUUUUCGGACCGCAUGAUCUUGUAUCGGCGGUAGGUCAUUCAAAUUUCUGCCCUAUCAGCUUUCGAUGGUAGUGUAGUGGACUACCAUGGCUUUAACGGGUGACGGAGAAUUAGGGUUCGAUUCCGGAGAGGGAGCCUGAGAAAUGGCUACCACAUCCAAGGAAGGCAGCAGG
RNAcentral lists this ribosomal RNA (410 nucleotides) under uncultured eukaryote. Its description in RNAcentral is "partial small subunit ribosomal RNA". It matches the Rfam family "Eukaryotic small subunit ribosomal RNA", at positions 30 to 432 of the family's 1831-position model. The record is from RNAcentral.